AAUCCUUUUGAACAUGUUAGGAAAGAAUUUAAAUAUAAUCUAAAGCCUCAAGCUAGAACUGCUUUAGAAAAAGCUGCUCAUAAAGUUUCAGACCUGGAUUACUUAUUGGAAAUGCUAUUUGAGUUUAUUCAUACUUAUGUUCAGUAUUGUGAUGUGAAUGACAGCAAGCAACCAUUAAACCACUUCUUUGAAGAAUUUCUCAAGCAAACCAGGUCAAAGAUUAUUUCAGAUUUGAAAAAAGUUUUUUCUCAAAGUGUUCUAUUGAGUCAAGUUACAGAUUGCUGGAAAUGCUUAGCUGAUUUUGAGGAUUCUAUUAAAAAACUUAAAAGCUAUUAGCCUUUAGUAAUUUGGAUCAGUAAUUUAGUUAGUUCUGACAUUGUUAUUUUGUUUAUAACUGUAGUUUGUUUAUUACUGUAAUCUGUAGUUGAUCUUUCUUUGCUAUUUACUGA
This is a long non-coding RNA of Amphimedon queenslandica, 449 nucleotides long. RefSeq lists it as uncharacterized. The record is from RefSeq and is a predicted model, not a curated record. The transcript is spliced from 3 exons. NCBI's taxonomy places the organism in Eukaryota, Metazoa, Porifera, Demospongiae, Haplosclerida, Niphatidae.